Molecule: ribosomal RNA, 508 nt
Filed under: uncultured bacterium
Lineage: Bacteria
Description: bacterial SSU rRNA
Rfam family: Bacterial small subunit ribosomal RNA
Source: RNAcentral
GAUCCUGGCUCAGGAUGAACGCUGGCGGCGUGCCUAACACAUGCAAGUCGAACGGGGUUAAGGGAAGUUUCGGAUGGAACUUAACUUGGUGGCGGACGGGUGAGUAACGCGUGGAUAACCUGCCUCGCACUGGGGGAUAGCAGCUGGAAACGGCUGGUAAUACCGCAUAAGACCACAAUGCCGCAUGGCACUGGGGUAAAAGAUUUAUCGGUGCGAGAUGGAUCCGCGUCUGAUUAGCCAGUUGGCGGGGUAACGGCCCACCAAAGCGACGAUCAGUAGCCGGCCUGAGAGGGUGAACGGCCACAUUGGGACUGAGACACGGCCCAAACUCCUACGGGAGGCAGCAGUGGGGAAUAUUGCACAAUGGGCGCAAGCCUGAUGCAGCCAACGCCGCGUGAGUGAAGAAGUAUUUCGGUAUGUAAAGCUCUAUCGGCAGGGAAGAAAGGCCCGAAAGGGAGAUGACGGUACCUGACUAAGAAGCCCCGGCUAACUACGUGCCAGCCGCUGC